RNAcentral lists this ribosomal RNA (293 nucleotides) under uncultured bacterium. RNAcentral describes it as "partial 16S ribosomal RNA". It matches the Rfam family "Bacterial small subunit ribosomal RNA", at positions 505 to 796 of the family's 1533-position model. The record is from RNAcentral.
GUGUCAGCCGCCGCGGUAAAACGUAGGACGCGAGCGUUAUCCGGAGUUACUGGGCGUAAAGGGCAGGCAGGCGGACAGACAAGCGUUGUGUGAAAUCUCCCUGGCUUAACCGGGAGGGCGCAUGGCGGACUGUCUGACUAGAGGGCAGCAGAGGAGCGUGGAAUUCCGGGUGGAGUAGUGAAAUGCGUAGAGAUCCGGAGGAACGCCAGAGGCGAAAGCGGGGCUCUGGGCUGCACCUGACGCUGAACUGCGAAAGCCAGGGGAGCGAACGGGAUUAGAAACCCCAGUAGUCC